RNAcentral lists this unclassified non-coding RNA (214 nucleotides) under Hevea brasiliensis (rubber tree). Lineage: Eukaryota; Viridiplantae; Streptophyta; Magnoliopsida; Malpighiales; Euphorbiaceae. The record is from RNAcentral.
UUUCCUCCGCUGACCCAACAACCUACUCAAUUUUCCAAUAUCAAAAAGUUAGAUAUUUAGGUUCGUAAACAUCUUAGUACGUUAAAUCCACAAAUUGGUGUAACAUAUUCUUUAGUAUUGUUGUCAGUUCACUGAGAGAAAAACAAAUAAAAAGGAGAACUCCUGAGUCAUGACAUAUUGUCUGGAUCAUACCUGACAAUUGGAAUAAAAUUUG